Molecule: ribosomal RNA, 497 nt
Filed under: uncultured bacterium
Lineage: Bacteria
Description: partial 16S ribosomal RNA
Rfam family: Bacterial small subunit ribosomal RNA
Source: RNAcentral
GAUGAACGCUGGCGGCGUGCCUAAUACAUGCAAGUCGAGCGAACGGACGAGAAGCUUGCUUCUCUGAUGUUAGCGGCGGACGGGUGAGUAACACGUGGAUAACCUACCUAUAAGACUGGGAUAACUUCGGGACACCGGAGCUAAUCCCGGAUAAUAUUUUGAACCGCAUGGUUCAAAAGUGAAAGACGGUCUUGCUGUCACUUAUAGAUGGAUCCGCGCUGCAUUAGCUAGUUGGUAAGGUAACGGCUUACCAAGGCAACGAUGCAUAGCCGACCUGAGAGGGUGUUCGGCCACCCUGGAACUGAGACACGGUCCAGACUCCUACGGGAGGCAGCAGUAGGGAAUCUUCCGCAAUGGGCGAAAGCCUGACGGAGCAACGCCGCGUGAGUGAUGAAGGUCUUCGGAUCGUAAAACUCUGUUAUUAGGGAAGAACAUAUGUGUAAGUAACUGUGCACAUCUUGACGGUACCUAAUCAGAAAGCCACGGCUAACUACGUG